Molecule: long non-coding RNA, 1907 nt
Filed under: Equus caballus (horse)
Lineage: Eukaryota; Metazoa; Chordata; Mammalia; Perissodactyla; Equidae
Description: lncRNA (ENSECAG00000057619.1)
Source: RNAcentral
AAAGAGACUUCAGCAAUGAGGAAGUCCAGCUCCCAGUUGUUUGAAAUUGGAAACUGAGCUCCAGAGAGAUUAAGAUAAAGUGUCCAUUUUUACACAGGAAGUUAUCAAAAGAGCCACGGUCAAAUCUGGGUCUUCUGAUACUUAAAGCUGUGCUCUUCCUAAUACUAAAUGCUGCCUCCUUUGAGGCAUUUAAAUCUCUGUAAUCUAGAUCCAUUUCUAUGCCAACAUCGGUAAAUCACAAAUGAUUAGAAAAAAGGUGGCAGACUCAAACACCAACUCAUGCUUUUUAAUUUGAGUGGUUUUCUAGGUUCAUCUGAAAUAAAACAAAACAAUAUUUUUUAAAACUCCUUCCUGUUUACAAAAUUGAGAAUUCCUUCUUGACACUGGUGUUCAUGUUCUAUGUACUUUCCAAAUACGGAGAUCCUAAAAUACGGGCUGGCUGAACUUUUAAAUAUAAAGAAAGUCUUGCAGUUGAGAAUACUCUCCAACCAAAUGAGUUCAGUCUGCUUUCUGCUUCUGAGAUCUGGGUCUAAGGGGAUUAUUUUCAAAGAUGAGCAGGAGACUAAAGAGAAAGACAGGCUUCCUGUUACCUACCUUGAGUUUGAGAGUCUUGAAAACCUUGUGUGUAGCAUUGCAAAGCUGCCCUGGAACAUGAAAAAUACAGCCUCUUCUCACCAGUGCUGAAGGAGGCUUCUUCCGACUCCAGCUUGAAUGUUUCUCAAGACGGUCAGUUAAGUGAAACCAUCUUUUCCAAAAGCUUGAGUAAACCUGAGAACCUCCCCACCAAUGAAUUAGGUAGGAGGAAAGCGGGCCCCAGUGGCGAGUAUCAUGAAAAGAUUCAGUUCUCAGACUUGGCUGCUUAUUGGAAUUAUUUGAAGAGCUUUAAAAGUACUAGCUGCCCAUAAAGGUUGCAGAUAUUCAGUGCUAUUAUAGGAAUUUUCAUGAAUACGUUUGAAAAUCCUGAUCUAUGGAUUGAAUUCCUGUUUUGAUUAAUUGAUUUGUAAACCUCUGUCCCUUUUGUGACUCUGUUCUGCCUUUUGGGAUUGGAGUUUCAUUGUUUACCCAGAUGCACAGAUACUUCCUGAUCAUUUGCUUUGGAAAAGCCAACUGCCAAGUCAUAAGCAGCCCUGUGGCGAACCCUACAUGGUGUGGAACUGAGACCUUGUGCCAACAGCCAGGUGAGUGAGCUUGCAAGACAAUUCUCCAGCUGUAUAAAGCCUUUGAAUGACUGCAGCCUGGUCGACAUCUUGACUGCAACCACAUGAGAGACCCUGAGCCAGAAUCACCCAACUAAACAGUUCCCAGCCUCUUUGAAAUUGGACUGUGAUGAUCAUAGAAGAGAAAGCAGGAGUGCAAAGAAUUUGGACAGCCAGCACAGUAUUGAUUACUUUGGAAGAAACAAAGACUUCUACAGAAAUUGCUUCAUACAGGUUCAGAACAAAAUGAUUCUGCUUUAACCAAGUGCCUAUGUAAGUUCCAGAUUUUGUAAAUAUUGGCCCUGAAGCAAUAAGCAAUAUACCUGUGCAGAAGUCACUGGACAGGACAAUGGGGCUCAGAGUUUGAGAAAAGAAGAAUGAAGCCUGGAUGAGAACCGUCUCUUUUGCCCCUCUGUUGGAGGAUUGACCCAAGUUCUUUAUUGCAGAAUUGUAAAUAAAUAUAUCCAUUAAAAUCCAUCUCUAAAUUUAAAAUACAUCUCUAAAUGUAUAUUAUAAAUUGGUUAUGGACUAAGAGAAUGGUUUGAAACACACUCAAACCAAUCCUUUCGUCAUCUUCCUAAAGUCUUGAGUUUAAGAAUCCACAUUAGGCAUUUUUAUAGAAGGAAAAAUACCCUUGAUUCUUGCUCUUAUAGAAGACAAUCAGACAAGGAGCCCUCCUUAGAACACUUUGUCAAAGAAAAGCUUAUUUUU